GGCAACGCUGCGGCCCCGCCCACGUCAUGGCGCCUGAGGAGAACGCGGGUACCAAACUCUUGCUGCAGAGUUUCGAGCGCCGCUUCCUAGCGGCGCGCACACUGCGCUCCUUCCCCUGGCAGGUGGGCGGCGGGGCGAGCGGAGAGGCCUGCGGGGCUUGCGGAAGUCCAGGGGCAGACGGGAUGGGUCUCCCUGCUGAAACCCCCGGCGCUCCUGCCACACGUGCUGUAUUGCCCAGAAGCCAUCGUGUCCCUGGUCGGGGUCCUGCGGAGGCUGGCUGCCUGCUGGGAGCACCAGCGGGCUCCUGAGGUCUACAUGGCCUUUACCGUCCGCAACCCAGAGACGUGCCAGGUGUUCACCACCGAGCUAGGCUGGGCUGGGAUCAGAUGGGAAGCGGAAGCUCAUCAUGACCAGAAACUGUUUCCCUAUGGAGAGCACUUGGAGAUGGCAAUGCUGAACCUCACACUGUAGGACUCAUACACGACUCCAACGGGAUUGUUAGAAUCAAAUCACUCUCGUGGGAAGAAUUUUUAUAUGGGAAAGCGGAUAAAACUUUCAUUGGACUGGAAUGUUUGGAGAAUGUUAAAUUCCAAAUCAGGAACCACAAUCUGCCCUCUAAUAAGACAUCGGCUAUCUAAGCAUGUGGGUGCCCCCUUUCUGCCAGCAGUUCUGGUUCUUAAGAAAAUCACCAUAAAUCAGACAUGAAAAUUCUGGCUCCAAAAAUAGCAUUUUCUUUGUGCAAAUAAAAACGUGUGUAUCAAGUAUGACGUUCCCCCAACGUGGACACACUCGGUUCCUCACAAAGCCAAGCCCGCUGCAGCUGCCACAUCCCUGGACACACUCGGUUCCUCACAAAGCCAAGCUCGCUGCAGCUGCCACAUCCCUGGACACAUUCGGUUCCUCACAAAGCCAAGCCCGCGGCAGCUGCCACAUCCCUGGACACACUCGGUUCCUCACAAAGCCAAGCCCGCUGCAGCUGCCACAUCCCUGGGCUUGUGGUGCAGCAGGUGCUUUUCUCAAGACAGGAAUCAAAGUGUUAGGAACAUGGCAGAAAGGUGACACCUGGAGACCAAAUGCAGGAUGAGGAGUACUGCAGAGGUCACAGGGAAGUCACAGAACAGUAAUACGCUAGCAGGGACAUGGGGCGUGAAGAACAGAAGAAGACAGGAAGCAUUUCUGAGACUCCAAAGAAGAAAUCAGGGCCAACCACAGCUUCCCGGGUCAUUCACCAGGUGGCACCACUGCCGUCAUUUCAGCUUCUGGCCACUGGGAGGCGCUGCUUGAAAGGGUUUGCCCUGAGACUCCAAGAAGAAGCUGCGGGAAGGACAGCAGGGGCCCUGGGGUUUUAGCCUCUGGCCCAGGAGUUAUGUGUCCAUAACCAAAGGGAGCACAGUCUGCACCCAGCUCUCAUCCCAUCAGAGCUGCUGCGACUCCCGCAGGUUCUUCCGGAACUGGUUUAGCUUGCCUUCAGGAUCAGGAAAGUUUGAGAAAAGCAUCUGCAAAAUACUGAAGAGCAGAGCUUACCUCAUUGCCUGUCCCCACCCCAUCCCAGGUCACCACCUGGAUGACCCCAGCUCCCCGACCCAACAACAACCCCUCCCAAGUCCCUAGCUCCCUCACUUGGACUUGAGACCCUUCACACCCCAGCAGCGCUCCGCCUCCAUCUUGACAUGCUUUCUGGAAACUUCCCCGUAUGUCCCACUUUCCCACACUUGGUGCCCUGGAGCACCUUCCGGCCUCUACAUGAUGUACGUUCCCCUGUGAGCACCCUCCUCUCGGCCUCUGGCCAACACAGUCCCACCCAUCUGUGGGUAACAAGGGGGUGUUCUUUUCAGCCUUGCUAAACUGUCUGAAUCAAGGAUCACAAACUACAGCCUGCAGGCCAAAUCCAGCCCACAGCCUGUGUUUGUAAAUAAAGCUUUAUUGGAACAAAGCCACACCCCU
This 1944-nucleotide long non-coding RNA is filed under the name Homo sapiens (human). RNAcentral describes it as "novel transcript". Lineage: Eukaryota; Metazoa; Chordata; Mammalia; Primates; Hominidae. The record is from RNAcentral.